This 1211-nucleotide unclassified non-coding RNA is filed under the name Leishmania donovani. Its description in RNAcentral is "gene:unknown". The record is from RNAcentral. Lineage: Eukaryota; Euglenozoa; Kinetoplastea; Trypanosomatida; Trypanosomatidae.
CGAGGAAGGGCGGCGUCGUCCGCUUCGGGCGCUCUUAUUGCGGCUACUGCUUCUCCUCUGCCCGAUGACGACGCAGUGUGAGGGGGAAGGGGCGCACCUCGGUGCGUGGCAUCCAGGGCCCACUCCCCACGCUGUGCGAGAGCAGGCCAGGCAGCCCCCGCGGCCCUUUUUGCCCCUGCCAAUGCCGAGCCGCCGCUUCUGGUGGUGGCAGGGUGAGGCGCCUACAGCGUAGGGUGCGGUGAGAGCGACUCACCGCUGCCGAUGUCGGCGGUGAGGUCCUGGAUGGCGCCGCGUCGGAGCGGCCUGUCACGGUGGGCACGCUUGUGCCAUCCAUGUGGCGGGCAGAGUGCCGGCGUGACGGGAACGCAUCUCACCGGGCCCCCCACACGGCCCACUGGUGGUGGGGCGCCUGGGCCACCCCGACGAGGAUGCACCACGUGGCGAUCGCCACAAUGGGGUGGCGGGGUGGGGGGAGCGGCUGUGAGGAGACGUGCGAGGCGUGUGGUGUGUAGAAGGUGACGCAGGGGCCGUGCUCAGGUGACCGAGUCGGCGCGCUGCUGGAGCACGUGCCCCCCCUCGCUGCUUCGCACCACGCGAUGGGGGCCUGUGACGGUGCGGGGGGAGGGGGAGGGAGGCCGAGCAGAGUCUGAGCGCGCGCUGCAUGGCCGCCAUAGCUCUCGUUGAAGUCAUCUACUUGGCUGCAUCUUUUUUUUAGUCGUCAGAUACCGCAGCACUCUGUUCACCGUCGCCGGCAGGUACACACGCGUUUCGUUCCCUCUUGCCCUGUGGUGAUGCGGUGCCGGUGAUGCCGUAGCAGGGCCCUUCGCUGUUCAUGUGCUGAUUAUUUAUAUAUUUGUAACCACGCACACACCCACACACAUAUAUAUAUAUGUGUAGAUAUACAUAUGUGGAGAGGAUGAUGUGGAGCGAAGGGCGGCAGCGAUCGUAGCGAUGGUGAUGGGUGGUUUGCUGCCACCCGCUCCCUCUGCACUUCUUUUUCUGUGGUGUGUAUGUGUAUGUGCGUGUGUAUCGGUUGUUCCUCUGUCUUGUGUGCUGUUUCACCAUCGUAUCGGUGUCUCUUGCUGUCUGUGGGUGGCUUGCGUUCUUGUCGCCUCUGUUGUUGUGCCGUGCCACGUUGUGCGAGCACGAUAGCCAGUGCGCAAGAGCGAGAGAAUGCUUUAGGGAAAGAGUGCCGCCACGUUAGCAACAGC